Molecule: ribosomal RNA, 521 nt
Filed under: uncultured Glomeromycotina
Lineage: Eukaryota; Fungi; Glomeromycota
Description: SSU rRNA
Rfam family: Eukaryotic small subunit ribosomal RNA
Source: RNAcentral
AGCAGCCGCGGUAAUUCCAGCUCCAAUAGCGUAUAUUAAAGUUGUUGCAGUUAAAAAGCUCGUAGUUGAAUUUCGAAAUUUUUUUAUCGGUUGAAUCAACAGGUUCGUACUGAUUUUAAGAAUUUCUACCUUCUGGAGAACCUUAAUGUCAUUUAUUUGAUGUUUUGGGAAACCAGGACUGUUACCUUGAAAAAAUUAGAGUGUUUAAAGCAGGCUUAUGUCUGAAUAUAUUAGCAUGGAAUAAUGAAAUAGGACGGCAUGGUUCUAUUUUGUUGGUUUCUAGGAUCACCGUAAUGAUUAAUAGGGAUAGUUGGGGGCAUUAGUAUUCAAUUGUCAGAGGUGAAAUUCUUGGAUUUAUUGAAGACUAACUUCUGCGAAAGCAUUUGCCAAGGAUGUUUUCAUUAAUCAAGAACGAAAGUUAGGGGAUCGAAGACGAUCAGAUACCGUCGUAGUCUUAACCAUAAACUAUGCCGACUAGGAAUCGGACGAAGUUAAAAAAAUGACGCGCUCGGCACCUCAUG